RNAcentral lists this ribosomal RNA (785 nucleotides) under Bursaphelenchus luxuriosae. Its description in RNAcentral is "eukaryotic LSU rRNA". It matches the Rfam family "Eukaryotic large subunit ribosomal RNA", at positions 344 to 964 of the family's 3401-position model. Lineage: Eukaryota; Metazoa; Nematoda; Chromadorea; Rhabditida; Aphelenchoididae. The record is from RNAcentral.
ACAAGUACCGUGAGGAAAGUUGAAAAGUACUUUGAAAAGAGAGUGCAAGAGAACGUGAAACCGGUGUAAUGGAAGCGAAUGGAGCCGACGUAUCUAGUGCGUAUUCAGCCUUUCGUUCGGUCGAUUGGGAGCAGUGUAUUUCCGCAAGGUGUGCCUGCUUUCUAUGUCGGUUGUUCGGUUGGUGCAUUUGCGUACGGAGUGCGCCGGGUUGUGUGGUGUCGUCGUGCGAAGCCUGUUUAGAGGACCCGAAUCUCGGUUUGGGAACCCUGAGCGGGUGGAGUUCGGUUGGUGCUGCGCAGCUUUGUGGAGACGUGGGUUUUUCGCGUGCUGCGGUGUCGGUUGGUCUGGUUUGGUUGGUACACAUGUGUGCCGGCCUUCUCGGGCCGGUCGGUGUUGUGGUGUGCUCUGCGUUCUUCCCGGUGUAUAGUCGGUGACCCAUUCGACCCGUCUUGAAACACGGACCAAGGAGUUUAUGGUAUGCGCAAGUCAUUGGGUUUGUCGAAGCCUAAAGGCGUAAUGAAAGUGAGACAUUACUUGUCUGAACGUGACUGGGUGCGGCAUUCGUGCGGCCCAAGCAACGUUGCCCCGUUUCGUGGACUUGUCCUGAUGCGGAGGUUGAGCGUAUGCUAUGAGACCCGAAAGAUGGUGAACUAUGCCUGAACAGGACGAAGCCAGAGGAAACUCUGGUGGAAGUCCGAAGCGGUUCUGACGUGCAAAUCGAUCGUCUGAUUUUGGUAUAGGGGCGCAAGACUAAUCGAACCAUCUAGUAGUCUGGUUCCUUCCGA